RNAcentral lists this Y RNA (102 nucleotides) under Peromyscus maniculatus bairdii (prairie deer mouse). RNAcentral's name for it is "Y RNA (ENSPEMG00000024443.1)". It matches the Rfam family "Y RNA". Rfam says of the family: Y RNAs are components of the Ro ribonucleoprotein particle (Ro RNP), in association with Ro60 and La proteins. The Y RNAs and Ro60 and La proteins are well conserved, but the function of the Ro RNP is not known. In humans the RNA component can be one of four small RNAs -- hY1, hY3, hY4 and hY5. Lineage: Eukaryota; Metazoa; Chordata; Mammalia; Rodentia; Cricetidae. The record is from Rfam by way of RNAcentral.
GGUUGGUCCAAGGGUAAUGGUGUUUACAACUAAUUGAUCACAACCAGUGACAGAUUUCUUUGUUCCUUCUCCAUUCCCACUACUUCACUUGAACAGCCGUCC